AUACGGAGGAUCCGAGCGUUAUCCGGAUUUAUUGGGUUUAAAGGGAGCGUAGGCGGACGCUCAAGUCAGUUGUGAAAGUUUGCGGCUCAACCGUAAAAUUGCAGUUGAAACUGGCAGCCUUGAGUACAGUUGAGGUAGGAGGAAUUCGUGGGGUAGCGGUGAAAUGCUUAGAUAUCACGAAGAACUCCGAUUGCGAAGGCAGCCUACUAAACUGCCACUGACAUUGAUGCUCGAAAGUGUGGGUAUCAAACAGGAUUAGAUACCCUGGUAGUCCACACGGUAAACGAUGAAUACUCGCUGUUUGCGAUAUACAGCAAGCGGCCAAGCGAAAGCGUUAAGUAUUCCACCUGGGGAGUACGCCGGCAACGGUGAAACUCAAAGGAAUUGGCGGGG
RNAcentral lists this ribosomal RNA (393 nucleotides) under uncultured bacterium. RNAcentral's name for it is "partial 16S ribosomal RNA". It matches the Rfam family "Bacterial small subunit ribosomal RNA", at positions 523 to 918 of the family's 1533-position model. The record is from RNAcentral.